This 96-nucleotide transfer RNA is filed under the name Streptomyces jeddahensis. Its description in RNAcentral is "tRNA-Ala". The record is from RNAcentral. Lineage: Bacteria; Bacillati; Actinomycetota; Actinomycetes; Kitasatosporales; Streptomycetaceae.
CGCCGUCCGGGCAGCCGGUACGCGCUGCCUCGUCGUACGCGUCGACACCUCCGACGAGGCAGACGUGGAGCGGCUGUUCGACACGGCCGCCGAUGA